Molecule: unclassified non-coding RNA, 378 nt
Filed under: uncultured bacterium
Lineage: Bacteria
Description: contains 16S-23S intergenic spacer region
Source: RNAcentral
UCCGGUUUGUCACCGGCGGUCUCCCUAGAGUUCCCAACUGAAUGAUGGCAACUAGGGACAAGGGUUGCGCUCGUUGCGGGACUUAACCCUACAUCUCACGACACGAGCUGACGACAGCCAUGCAGCACCUGUGUCGGCUCCUCUUGCGAGGUCGGUCCCCUUUCGGUUCCCUACCACCGACAUGUCAAACCCAGGUAAGGUUUUUCGCGUUGCGUCGAAUUGAACCACAUGCUCCACCGCUUGUGCGGGUCCCCGUCAAUUCCUUUGAGUUUUAAUCUUGCGACCGUACUCCCCAGGCGGGAUGCUUAUUGCGUUAGCUGCGCCACCAACGAGCAAGCUCGCUGACGGCUAGCACCCAUCGUUUACGGCUGGGACUAC